GUCUACAGUUGCUGUCUAGAGAGGUGCCAAGAAAGACUCGGCUUUUGCCCCUCAAGCUUAGUGCACUGUUCGAUAUUUACUGUAAAGGUUCCUGAAACUGACAGAGGGAAGCCAACACAAAUUUAUCCUCCUCAAGAUCCACUCGACCCAAGUCCAUAAGACGAUCACCUGCAAACUCAAACAUGUGAAGCAUGGAGAGCGCAUGAAGCAGAAAGCGGCGUGCGCACUAAAACACACAGUUGGUGUUGUAGGUCAGCUUGUUUGCCCAGUCUGGAGAUUGUGGGAGGAAAUGGGCUAGGCCCAGGAAAUUCAUUUCCUGAGAGGGAGCCAGCUGGCGUUAUGUGUCAAAGAAGAUGGAGGCAGUGGCCUGCAGUUAUAAGCACAACAACAAGACCAGAUCAGGACCACGUGGACAUGGAGGAGUAGACUGAGCUGAUGUUGUUCUUCAUAGCAGACCAUCCCCUAUGCUGACUGUUGCUUCUGGACGAGGCUCACAAGCACUCAGGGUGGAACCACAUUGUGAUGGAAACAUGGCAUCACAUCACAGAGGGGCCCAGAACUCCCACAUGAGGAAAGCCACAUUCCUGGAGCAGUGUGAGGCACUCGCUCUGGCCCUUGAGCAGCAGAACAGCCAGUUGAGAGAGCCAAAAAUUGUCCAGAAGUACGUUGCUAUUGCCUUGUGGAAGCUGCCAACCCCAGGCUGUUAUAGAUUUGUUGGCAACCUGUCUGCGGUAGGCAAAUCCACAGCUGGCACUGUGGUCAUGGAGGUUUCCAAGGCAAUUUAUACUGUGCUGGCCCCCAGGGUUGUAAAACUUGGAAAUAUUCUUGAAAUAAUUGCAGGAUUUGAACAGAUGAGGUUCCCGAGAUGUGCAGGUGUGAGUGAUGACAAGCAUACACCCAGCCUUUGCCUGCCAUUUCAAGCAAGCAAGUAUAUUAAUAGGUUUACUGAAAGCAAAAGGGCCCAGUGGGAGGAAUGUGUUAUAGGAGAUCCUCAAGUGAGUGGUGAAAAAAAUGUACAGGAAUCCUUACCAGAAAGCAUACCUCCUUAGGCAAGUAACCCAU
Long non-coding RNA from Mauremys reevesii (Reeves's turtle), 1062 nucleotides. RefSeq lists it as uncharacterized. The transcript is spliced from 6 exons. Lineage: Eukaryota; Metazoa; Chordata; Testudines; Geoemydidae. The record is from RefSeq and is a predicted model, not a curated record.